AACCUUUACACUGUACGCAAGUGCGAUAAGGGGACUCCGAGUGUGAAGGCAUAGAGCCUUCACUUUUGUACACCGUAAGGUGGUGUACGAAUAAGGGCUGGGCAAGACCGGUGCCAGCCGCCGCGGUAAUACCGGCAGCCCGAGUGAUGGCCGAUUUUAUUGGGCCUAAAGCGUCCGUAGCUGGCCGCACAAGUCCAUCGGAAAAUCCACCCGCUCAACGGGUGGGCGUCCGGUGGAAACUGUGUGGCUUGGGACCGGAAGGCGCGACGGGUACGUCCGGGGUAGGAGUGAAAUCCCGUAAUCCUGGACGGACCGCCGAUGGCGAAAGCACGUCGCGAGAACGGAUCCGACAGUGAGGGACGAAAGCUAGGGUCUCGAACCGGAUUAGAUACCCGGGUAGUCCUAGCCGUAAACAAUGCCUGCUAGGUGUGGCUCCCACUACGAGUGGGUGCUGUGCCGUAGGGAAGCCGCUAAGCAGGCCGCCUGGGAAGUACGUCCGCAAGGAUGAAACUUAA
This 515-nucleotide ribosomal RNA is filed under the name uncultured archaeon. RNAcentral's name for it is "bacterial SSU rRNA". It matches the Rfam family "Archaeal small subunit ribosomal RNA", at positions 345 to 859 of the family's 1478-position model. The record is from RNAcentral.